UGGAGGUGGUGGUGGAGAACUGU
RNAcentral lists this non-coding RNA (23 nucleotides) under Arabidopsis thaliana (thale cress). The record is from RNAcentral. Lineage: Eukaryota; Viridiplantae; Streptophyta; Magnoliopsida; Brassicales; Brassicaceae.